RNAcentral lists this long non-coding RNA (354 nucleotides) under Mustela putorius furo (domestic ferret). RNAcentral describes it as "lncRNA (ENSMPUG00000024210.1)". Lineage: Eukaryota; Metazoa; Chordata; Mammalia; Carnivora; Mustelidae. The record is from RNAcentral.
AUGGACAACGUAACUAGUUGGGAAAGAGUUGGGGGCAACAUGGCUUGGCUGGGUCAUCUUCAGUGGUUUAGAGUGGCGUUCCCAACCUUGGAGCAAAUGUCAACUUUAUGGGUCCAAUAUACAUACUCAAGUGUGGCAGUCCUGUGUAAUCACCUGGUGAAUUUUUGUAUGGAAUCAGAAGAGACCCCGAAUCGCUAAGGAAAUGCUGAAAAACAAAAAUAAAACUGGGGGUAUCACGUGACCCGAUUUCAAGCUUUAAUACAAAGCUGUGAUCACCAAGACAGCAUGGUACUGGCAUAAAAACAGACACAUAGACCAGUGGAACAGAGUAGAGAGCCCAGAUAUGGACCCUCA